This 253-nucleotide ribosomal RNA is filed under the name uncultured bacterium. RNAcentral's name for it is "partial 16S ribosomal RNA". It matches the Rfam family "Bacterial small subunit ribosomal RNA", at positions 524 to 776 of the family's 1533-position model. The record is from RNAcentral.
GACGGGGGGCGCAAGCGUUGUUCGGAAUUACUGGGCGUAAAGCGCACGCAGGUGGCUCUUUAAGUCCACUGUGAAACUCCGGGGCGCAACUCCGGACAUGCAGUGGAUACUGGAGGGCUGGAGACCGGUAGAGGCUAGCGGAAUUCCAGGUGUAGCGGUGGAAUGCGUAGAUAUCUGGAAGAACAUCAGUGGCGAAGGCGGCUAGCUGGGCCUGUUCUGCCACUCAUGUGCGAAAGCGUGGGGAGCAAACAGG